Molecule: long non-coding RNA, 597 nt
Organism: Cyanistes caeruleus (blue tit)
Lineage: Eukaryota; Metazoa; Chordata; Aves; Passeriformes; Paridae
Source: RefSeq, a predicted model, not a curated record
GCCAUUUGUUCUAUGCUUUGUGAGCUUUAUUGUCCCUGUAACUUUCAAGUCACAGCUGUCAACGGUGUUCAUGAGCUAAAAUAAUUUUGUUUAGGCAGCUGAGUCUCAAUACCUUAAUGGUUUAAAAAACUCAAAACCCCAAACCCCCCAACAAGUAGGACCAAAGGCCUAAAAAUAACACUGGAAGGAAAAUCCUGUAAGACAUCUAAGAAGGAGAGUAGCACUGGUCAUGUCAAGCUCCCCAACAGAAGGUCAAAGAGAAGAAACCAUUCCCUGUCCCACAUCACUGUACAAAAAAUAGAGCUUUGUAAAUGCUGAAUCAUCAACUCUUUCUGUAUCAGAGUCUAGAUAAUAACAAUCCCUGCUCAGUCAAGACUGGAAAACAUAGUGAAGGAGGAAGUCUAAUUGGUUUCAAGUGGCCUUUUCUACACAGAAACAGUAAGAAGAAAAUUAAUGCGGAGUACAAAUUUCUAUGAUCCAUGAUCAUCUACAACGGAUACAUUCAUCACCAACAGGCAACAGAGGUGGAUUUUAAACACACUUACAAUUGUUCAUUUGACAUUCCUCUUGGAUUUUCUCCAUACAACAGAAACACAC